This 83-nucleotide transfer RNA is filed under the name Planctomycetota bacterium. RNAcentral's name for it is "Planctomycetes bacterium (hot springs metagenome) tRNA-Leu". It matches the Rfam family "tRNA". Rfam says of the family: Transfer RNA (tRNA) molecules are approximately 80 nucleotides in length. Their secondary structure includes four short double-helical elements and three loops (D, anti-codon, and T loops). Further hydrogen bonds mediate the characteristic L-shaped molecular structure. tRNAs have two regions of fundamental functional importance: the anti-codon, which is responsible for specific mRNA codon recognition, and the 3' end, to which the tRNAs corresponding amino acid is attached (by aminoacyl-tRNA synthetases). tRNAs cope with the degeneracy of the genetic code in two manners: having more than one tRNA (with a specific anti-codon) for a particular amino acid; and 'wobble' base-pairing, i.e. permitting non-standard base-pairing at the 3rd anti-codon position. Lineage: Bacteria; Pseudomonadati; Planctomycetota. The record is from RNAcentral. RNAcentral also lists the same sequence under 1 other name.
GCCGGAGUGGCGGAAUGGCAGACGCGCUGGACUCAAAAUCCAGUGGGCUUCGGCCCGUGUGGGUUCAACUCCCACCUCCGGCA